GCACCAGUAGUGUAGUGGUAUCAUACAAGAUACAUAUUCUUGUGACCCGGGUUCGAUUCCGGCUGGUGCA
This 70-nucleotide transfer RNA is filed under the name Alosa alosa (allis shad). RNAcentral's name for it is "tRNA-Met". It matches the Rfam family "tRNA". From Rfam's summary of the family: Transfer RNA (tRNA) molecules are approximately 80 nucleotides in length. The record is from RNAcentral. Lineage: Eukaryota; Metazoa; Chordata; Actinopteri; Clupeiformes; Clupeidae.